ACGGGCUGUGAAAUUUACUCUUCCCACACAGGAAGGACGUGGCGGGAGUGAGAAAGGAUGCACUUCAAAGAGCUGCUGUUCACGGAUGACCGUGAACACACGAGCGUGGGAGCCCAACCACAGGCCUAAACGGGGGGCAGCCGCAGAGCCUCAGCCACCGGGGAGGGUGUCCUCAGCGUGCAGCACCUCCAGGAGUGUGCGCCCUGCCACGGCCCCUGAGCUGCUCCAGCUCUACGACGGCAGCAGUUCUGAGGGCUAUGGGUGCCUCACAAGCCCCAGAGCGGAGCCCCUGUUCUGGGCCGGGGCAAGCGCCCCGGGCGGGUCUGGGGAGGCCUGGAACGGCAGUGGGGACCCCAGGCAGCAGGCAUGGUGGCUUCUGGCUGCCAUCUCAUUGUUGGUGGAAAAAGUCACUUGGUUGUAUUAAUUGUUGGUUUGCCCUCCAGGGAUAAAACUGGCCCUAGUAAUACUGUUUUACAAAUCUCCAUUAACUAUUAAAUACCAUAAAAAUGUAAGCUGGCUUCAUUCCUACAAGACGUGAAGGGAAACCGAAAACUGAAAAGCGACAGGUUCUUGUAAAAGAAGCCAGGAAGGGACUCCCAGACGCACCAGUGGGUUGACUUGAAAUCCCAGCACCUGGGGACCUGCCCGGCCUGGGCUCCUCAUAUCCUGGAGGAACAAAACUGGGUCUUCGCUUCGAGUGAGCACAGCAAUGAACUGCUACCAGAUUGGGAGGGUUUGACACAGCAGACCGGAGAUGGGCUAUUCAUUAUCACAGAAGAUUGCAGUUGGAAGGAGAAUUCUGUCUAUGAGGCUACAACUAGGAGCCCACGGGGGCACGGAGGGGGAAGCACCUCAGAGGAGGGGACAGUCUCUCCGCACGAGAGCAAGACCCAAACACACACUCUCCACAGACAGAAAACUCACCAACACUCCUCAAAACUGCUAAAGAAAAGAACCAAAACGAAAUAUUAGCAGCUUGUUAGCAAACGGCAAAUGCAAAACAAAAAUUGAAAAAACAAGUUCUCUUUCGUCAAAAUUCUGGAGAUCAUUUGUCGAGGCCCCGACUACAGGGACAAUUAAACUCAAGAGCCCAGCAUGCUCACUGGUGAGAGCAACGUCUGCGCGUGUGCUCGAGCCCCAGGGAGACGUCCCAUGCGGGCGAGUAACACCUGCACCGAAAGGAGAGCUCCCCUGGUGCAAACCAUUCCUGCAGGUGGUGUUACGACAUCAGUAGGACAUUAAAUAAAAAUGUAUAUAUUAGAAAAAUGCUGUAGAAGCGCUUAGGGAGUAAGAGGUACCGAAGUUAACAUGCCAGACAGGUAUCAACACCCCAACCUUCCUGGGACAGGGACAGCCCUCUUGAGCGGCUUUCUCCUCCAGGGCCUCCACGCCAGCCUCAGGUCACACGCUCGCACCUCCACGCGGCCACAUGCAAUGCUGCGACAGACACGCGGCUGGCUGUGCAGAGCACUGUGGCACAGGAAGCUCGCCUUUGUCCUAAUUCCCAGAGAAGCACCACGUCGGUGAAUCCUCGGAGGGAUCUGGUGGCCUGGCUUGUCUGCCCAGGGAGGAGCCCUUGGUGCGGACGAAUCAAGGUCGAGGAGGCUGCCAGGGGCCUCCCAGAGAUGCCACCCAGCCCUGCGCUCAGCUCUGACCCGACCCCCCAGCUGCUCUCCGCCAGCCUGCUGGCCCCUUGGCCCACGACCGCUGCACCUGACCUUUCUUCCCAACCCGUGCAGUCCGAGGUCACCUUGCUCAAGCCCUGUCCUGACUCCCGCCCUGGGGCCUGAGGCUCCGGCCAGCGCUAAGCCUCCUCCGACUGCCCCGCGGGUCCUCCUGAGGCUGGCGGGCCUUGGCCUCACCAUCCUCAAAGCACUCGGCUCCGGCCCCUCGAGCCCACGUUCCACGCAGACUGCCCCGUCGUGGCCCCAGCUUGUUCCUUCUCUGCAGCCCCACCUUCUUCUCCGGGCCUCGCCGCCCCGUCUCCUCCAGAACCUCGCUCCAUCGGUGUCCUCUGCCGUCUCCCCCCACUUGCCUUCAUCUCUCCUAUCAGCCUGAGCACGGGCUCGUCUCGGUCACCUUCUGCGCGCCUGAGGCCUUCACGCUGCUCUUCCACCUCACGGUCCCAGGAGCCCAGGCCUCGGCCACACGCAUAGCAUCCACUUCCUACACCCGCACCCCCUGGUCAAGGAAGCGUCAGACGGCAGCACAAGGACAACACACACCCUCCAGGAACUUACUGUUUCUUGGUCUCUUCAAAUUUGUGCAGCUUUUUGCGGAGACCUCCUGACUUAAAGCCUUGGCAGUGUGCUGCUGGCGCUCCGAUGGUGACAAUGUCGUAGUUCUGAUCUGAAUGACAGAAAGCUCUCCUCCAUUACUCUGGGCUCAGGCCUGUGGACGAGCCAGCUACAGCGAUACGUGCACAACUCUGGGAUCCCCCGCCAGCCCACUUCCAAGCAGCCUGUGGUUCCCUCAGUCGCACAGCCCGGGCUGCCCGAGGGCCUCUGGAGCCAAGCACCAUCAUCUCGGCUACGAGGGUCCUGUCUCAGGGGAGAGUCACACAGGGCAACUACCCAGCGACUCAGCUUGCAUCCCUCCUUCAGAAGGAUGACCUGUGGGCAAUUUUCUGCCACAGCAACACAAAGGGAAGCUGGAGGGAGGGCAAACGAGGGGAAGGGGUCUGAGCUCUCCACAGAGGCCUUCCGGAGGCCCUUGGGCUGUGCCUUUGCCGGGCGCCCAGCAGCAGCACACACAGGGCAGGCUGGGGCAGAUGUGGGGCAGCUCAGGGAGAAAAGAAGUGAGAUGUGAUCGAGCGAGACGGUUACCUGAUCCUCCAUCGUCCUGAACUCUCAUCCUCUGUAUGUGUAAGUUUGUGGGAACAAAUUCUAACUUUUUAUCUGCUUUCAAACUGCUUGCCUUGAACGAGGGACCUGAGGAAUGGAAUGUGAGAAAAUAAAGAUGGUCAGCCCG
This is a long non-coding RNA of Lagenorhynchus albirostris (white-beaked dolphin), 2970 nucleotides long. RefSeq lists it as uncharacterized. The transcript has 2 exons. Lineage: Eukaryota; Metazoa; Chordata; Mammalia; Artiodactyla; Delphinidae. The record is from RefSeq and is a predicted model, not a curated record.